This 376-nucleotide ribosomal RNA is filed under the name uncultured bacterium. RNAcentral describes it as "bacterial SSU rRNA". It matches the Rfam family "Bacterial small subunit ribosomal RNA", at positions 524 to 898 of the family's 1533-position model. The record is from RNAcentral.
GACAGAGGGUGCAAACGUUGCUCGGAAUUACUGGGCGUAAAGCGCGUGUAGGCGGCUCCGUAAGUCGGGUGUGAAAUCCCUCGGCUCAACUGAGGAAGUGCACUCGAUACUGCAGAGCUAGAGUACCGGAGAGGGUGGUGGAAUUCCUGGUGUAGAGGUGAAAUUCGUAGAUAUCAGGAGGAACACCGGCGGCGAAGGCGGCCACCUGGACGGAUACUGACGCUCAGACGCGAAAGCGUGGGUAGCAAACAGGAUUAGAUACCCUGGUAGUCCACGCUGUAAACGAUGGGUACUAGGUGUCGCGGGUAUUGACCCCUGCGGUGCCGAAGCUAACGCAUUAAGUACCCCGCCUGGGGACUACGGCCGCAAGGCUAAA